Molecule: ribosomal RNA, 443 nt
Filed under: uncultured bacterium
Lineage: Bacteria
Description: partial 16S ribosomal RNA
Rfam family: Bacterial small subunit ribosomal RNA
Source: RNAcentral
CCUACGGGAGGCAGCAGUGGGGAAUAUUGGGCAAUGGGCGCAAGCCUGACCCAGCAACGCCGCGUGAAGGAAGAAGGCUUUCGGGUUGUAAACUUCUUUUCUGAGGGACGAAGAAAGUGACGGUACCUCAGGAAUAAGCCACGGCUAACUACGUGCCAGCAGCCGCGGUAAUACGUAGGUGGCAAGCGUUAUUCGGAUUGAUUGGUUGUAAAGGGCGUGUAGGCAGGACAGCAAGUCAGAUGUGAAAACUCAGGGCUCAACCCUGAGCCUGCAUGUGAAACUGUUUUUCUUGAGUGCUGGAGAGGCAAUCGGAAUUCCGGGUGUAGCGGUGAAAUGCGUAGAUAUACGGAGGAACACCAGUGGCGAAGGCGGAUUGCUGGACAGUAACUGACGCUGAGGCGCGAAAGCGUGGGGAGCAAACAGGAUUAGAUACCCGAGUAGUC